CUCUCUUUAGCUCUUCAGCGGUGAAAGAUGGUAGCCUGGACCCAACAUUCUUCCUCAUCAAUGGGGGGUAAUCUCCAUGCACCAAUGGAUGCAUAUACCUGUGUCAUGAUCACAAGAUCUUUAGCUGUAGUUACAUACACAUUUCAGCUGUCCUUGUUAAACUUGAAAUGUAGAAACAUACCAUCCAAUGUGGAAGUCAUUCAUCCUUGCAGCUGCUGCUAUAUCCUCAGGUGUUUGUGUCGCAGGCUCGUUCCACCAGCAGAGCAAUGUGAGUCCAAUUUUCCCUCCUUGCUUGGCCUGAUUAACAAGAAAUAAGAAGGAAUAUUGCACAUGGACGCUGCUGAGGCAUGUGCAAGCAGAAGAUGGUGAGCUACUAUGUAGGGCUCAGUGGUAGAGUUGCCAUUGUCACAACUGAUGCCGAAGGGGGAGGAGCAUCGCCGUGGUGGAAAGAAUCCUACAUCGUAUCCGCCAAUGGGCUCAAUGUUCGGCUCAUUCACGGUGCUCCAGUAUUUCACCCUGUCGCCAAAGUUCUUGAAGCACACAUCUGCAUAUGCUGUGUAGUCAUCUCUGCAACCAUGUGACAAAAAAAAGGUAGGGCAAGAAGAUAAGUACAUGAAUUUACGACUAAGCAUCCCACGGUAUUCAUCUUGAAGAGCUUGAGGGAAGUCGAAAUGAUAUAUCGUCACAUGAGGCUGGAUUCCUACAUGAAACACAGGAAGAUGCACAGUUCAUCUCUGCGCAACUGGACAUCUGGAGACCCAUGAAUUUCAUUCCUAAAUGGAGGAUUCAGUAUGCCAAGGAUCAAAUACCAUGACUAAGGAGUUCAUUGAUAAGGUUGUUGUAGUACUCCAGUCCCUUUGGAUUGACAGCUCCUCGGCCAUCUUCAUGGAUUGCAAACAGAAGAAUAAGCCUAGGCCAGGCAAUGGAAAAUCUGUAUGCAUCGACGCCCAUCUCGCUCAAAAGCUUUACAUCUUCCUGGUGGUUUAUCACAUCACAUCAGCAGUGGCUCCAUCGGCAGAGUAGCCUGUGGAUGUUAAAACUCCAUGUUAUAAUUGACAAUGCGAUAAUGUGUGGCAGAUUCAGGCUCACAGUGCGUGGGUGAAAUUAACCUGAGUGUGUGAACGUGUCCCAGAUGCUGGGUUUUCUUCCGUCCUCUGCAACUGCGCCUUCAAUCUGGAAAAUCAGCCGAAUGUUCAGGCCGUGUUCCCGCCAAACUUCACCUCAAAAUAGUGUGAGUCGUCGAUUCUGCAGAUCCAACGGACUAAGAAGGAGCGAAUCCAAAGAAAGGUGGCCGUCGAUAUGGGUACAUCUGACGGCUCAGACUGUUUUUGUUUCUGUCAGG
Long non-coding RNA from Triticum aestivum (bread wheat), 1342 nucleotides. RefSeq lists it as uncharacterized. The transcript is spliced from 6 exons. NCBI's taxonomy places the organism in Eukaryota, Viridiplantae, Streptophyta, Magnoliopsida, Poales, Poaceae. The record is from RefSeq and is a predicted model, not a curated record.